AAAUAAAUAAAAAAAGUGAAAAUUAAGAAAAAGUAAAGCAAAUAAAAAUAAAUGAAACAAAGAAAGAAAAAUAUUAAGAAAAAAACAUGAGCAGAAUAAGAAACAAACAAGAGAAACGAGAAAAAAAAAACAGAAGCGGUAAUCAAGACAGAGAAUCCAUUUGACAGAUAACAAACAAAAAAAACAGACAGACAAACAAACAAACAAACAAACAAACAAACAAACACCGAGUGAAAUCAUGAAGAAAGUGACCAACCGCGCCCUCUUCCCCCUCCCCCCCUGCUCGAAGUGAAAAGAAAACGGACGAAACAACGGCGGCGGCGGCGGUGGUGGAGGCGGCGGCGACGGGGCAGCGAGGUCGAAGUCACUCUGAAGUCAUUCGAACACAAGCAUGAGCGGGGCGGCAGCAUGAGUGGACGCGUGUGUUCGUGUGUGUGUGCGUGGAGACGGCUUCCGCUCCUCCCCCCUCCCCCCCUCGUCUUCCUCCUCCUCCCCCUCCUCCUCCUCGCGUUCUUCGUCUCCUCAGGCAACUCUCUGAACAACAACAUCGAAGGAGGAGGAGGAAGAGGAGGAGGAGGAGGACAGGGAACCGAACCCCUGACCCACGGCACAACCACUCCGCCGCUGCCACUCAAGGUCGAGGACGAGCUUGACCUCCUCGACCCCGGCAUGGAGGUUGACCCGGCCUCCUGGAGUGACUACCUCAACAAUCUCUUUGACCCCGUGUUCGACCCCAGCGUGCCCUCCAACGUGUCGGUGGUCGAGCGGCAGACGGCCCACCUCGUCUGCCGCGUCAACAACCUGGGC
Molecule: long non-coding RNA, 807 nt
Organism: Eriocheir sinensis (Chinese mitten crab)
Lineage: Eukaryota; Metazoa; Arthropoda; Malacostraca; Decapoda; Varunidae
Exons: 3
Source: RefSeq, a predicted model, not a curated record